UGGGGAAUAUUGGACAAUGGGCGCAAGCCUGAUCCAGCCAUGCCGCGUGAGUGAUGAAGGCCCUAGGGUUGUAAAGAUCUUUCACCGGUGAAGAUAAUGACGGUAACCGGAGAAGAAGCCCCGGCUAACUUCGUGCCAGCAGCCGCGGUAAUACGAAGGGGGCUAGCGUUGUUCGGAUUUACUGGGCGUAAAGCGCACGUAGGCGGACUAUUAAGUCAGGAGUGAAAUCCCGGGGCUCAACCCCGGAACUGCCUUUGAUACUGGUAGUCUUGAGUUCGAGAGAGGUGAGAUGAAUUCCGAGUGUAGAGGUGAAAUUCGUAGAUAUUCGGAGGAACACCAGUGGCGAAGGCUGCUCACUGGCUCGAUACUGACGCUGAGGUGCGAAAGCGUGGGGAGCGAACAGG
Molecule: ribosomal RNA, 404 nt
Filed under: Verrucomicrobiota bacterium
Lineage: Bacteria; Pseudomonadati; Verrucomicrobiota
Description: Verrucomicrobia bacterium partial 16S ribosomal RNA
Rfam family: Bacterial small subunit ribosomal RNA
Source: RNAcentral